Long non-coding RNA from Octopus sinensis (East Asian common octopus), 215 nucleotides. RefSeq lists it as uncharacterized. The transcript has 3 exons. The record is from RefSeq and is a predicted model, not a curated record. NCBI's taxonomy places the organism in Eukaryota, Metazoa, Mollusca, Cephalopoda, Octopoda, Octopodidae.
AUAUAUAUAUAUAUAUAUACAUCACUGGGUGAGCAGUGCCCUCUCCAAAUGGAGCUGCUCAGACACCCAUGCAGCAACCGAAUCCUACCGCUGUCUUGGGCAACAAGGAGACGACUUUAUAUCUAGCAUGGGCCGCCUACGAGCAGGUCACUGACUACAUGCUUCCAACCCAUCAGGUCUGCAUGCUUCACCACCUUCCCAUCGCUGCAGGACUU